RNAcentral lists this ribosomal RNA (495 nucleotides) under uncultured bacterium. RNAcentral describes it as "partial 16S ribosomal RNA". It matches the Rfam family "Bacterial small subunit ribosomal RNA", at positions 29 to 507 of the family's 1533-position model. The record is from RNAcentral.
ACGAACGCUGGCGGCGUGCCUAAUACAUGCAAGUUGAGCGCUGAAGGUUGGUACUUGUACCGACUGGAUGAGCAGCGAACGGGUGAGUAACGCGUGGGGAAUCUGCCUUUGAGCGGGGGACAACAUUUGGAAACGAAUGCUAAUACCGCAUAAAAACUUUAAACACAAGUUUUCAGUUUGAAAGCUGCAAUUGCAUCACUCAAAGAUGCUCCCACGUUGUAUUAGCUAGUUGGUGGGGUAAAGGCUCAACACGGCGAUGAUACGUAGCCGACCUGGGAGGGGGAUCAGCCCAACUGGAACUGGGCCACGGUCCAGACUCCUACGGGAGGACGCAGUGGGGAAUAUGGGACAUGGGGCGGAAGCAUAAUACAGAGAUACCGCGUGGGUGAAGAAGGCCUGCGGGUUGUAAAGCCCUGUUGGUGGGAAAGAAAAGCAGCAGGUUAAUACCCCGCUGUUCUGACGGUACCCAAAGAAUAAGCACCGGCUAACUUCGUG